This 253-nucleotide ribosomal RNA is filed under the name uncultured bacterium. RNAcentral's name for it is "partial 16S ribosomal RNA". It matches the Rfam family "Bacterial small subunit ribosomal RNA", at positions 524 to 776 of the family's 1533-position model. The record is from RNAcentral.
UACGGAGGGGGCAAGCGUUGUUCGGAAUUACUGGGCGUAAAGGGCGCGUAGGCGGCUUGGCAAGUUGGGCGUGAAAGCCCUGGGCUUAACCCAGGAAUUGCGCUUGAGACUGCCGGGCUUGAGUGCGGGAGAGGUGAGUGGAAUUCCCAGUGUAGAGGUGAAAUUCGUAGAUAUUGGGAAGAACACCAGUGGCGAAGGCGACUCUUUGGCCUGUAACUGACGCUGAGGCGCGAAAGCGUGGGGAGCAAACAGG